GACGAACGCUGGCGGCGUGCUUAACACAUGCAAGUCGAACGGUCAACGAGGGAGCUUGCUCCCCCCGGAUCAGUGGCGGACGGGUGAGUAACACGUGGGCAAUCUGCCCAGAAGACUGGGAUAAGCGCGGGAAACGAGGGCUAAUACCGGAUAAGACGCGGAAGGGCAUGGUUCCAGAGUGGAAAGACGUUUGGUUCGGGAUGAGCGAGCGGUCUAGCAGGUUGUUGGUAAGGUAAAGGCUAACGAAGUAGACGACGGGUAGCCGGCCGGAGAGGGUGACCGGCCACACUGGGACUGAGGCACGGCCCAGACUCCUACGGGCGGCAGCAGUGGGGAAUAUUGCACAAUGGGCGCAAGCCUGAUGCAGCAACGCCGCGUGCGUGACGACGGCCUUCGGGUUGUAAACCUCUUUUAGCAUGGAAGAAGCCAAAUUGACGGUACCUGCAGAAAAAGCACCGGCUAACUACGUG
This 470-nucleotide ribosomal RNA is filed under the name uncultured bacterium. RNAcentral's name for it is "partial 16S ribosomal RNA". It matches the Rfam family "Bacterial small subunit ribosomal RNA", at positions 28 to 507 of the family's 1533-position model. The record is from RNAcentral.